Molecule: unclassified non-coding RNA, 450 nt
Filed under: Hevea brasiliensis (rubber tree)
Lineage: Eukaryota; Viridiplantae; Streptophyta; Magnoliopsida; Malpighiales; Euphorbiaceae
Source: RNAcentral
GAAGAGGUUUAUUAUUCCCUCAAGCUAUUUGGAAUUUAUAUUGUUUACAAGUGUACUAAAAAGGAAGAAUACAGAUUAUGGGCAUAUUUACAGGCCUAAUUAUGGUACAUAACCACAUCAUCUAAUUAGGGCAAGUAUCUCAAAAAUUCAGGCAAGUAUCUCAACAGUAAGGAACUAUGGUUUAAUUUCCUCCACAACAAUUAGAACAUUAACUUGUCUAAUUAAUCACAAAGAUAACCAAUGCAUAUAAGAGUUUCAAGUAAAGCCCUGCGCUAAUGCCCCGAUCAUUAUCAAUGUGAGACUUGAAAAGAUGGCCAAUACUUGUGUCAAUCUUACAAUUUGGACAAUUAUGUAAUAAAUAAUCAAGAUUGUGAAGAAGAUUGAGAGCAAAAUGAUUUUGUAUUGGUCAGAUCCAUAACUGUUUUAGAGAAAUUUUAGGAUGUAAUUGUG